RNAcentral lists this ribosomal RNA (500 nucleotides) under uncultured bacterium. Its description in RNAcentral is "partial 16S ribosomal RNA". It matches the Rfam family "Bacterial small subunit ribosomal RNA", at positions 32 to 507 of the family's 1533-position model. The record is from RNAcentral.
AAUCAACGCUGGCGGCGUGCCUAACACAUGCAAGUCGAACGCGAAAGCCCCGCAAGGGGUAAGUAGAGUGGCAAACGGGUGAGUAACACGUGGGUGACCUGCCUUCGAGUGGGGGAUAACGUCCCGAAAGGGACGCUAAUACCGCAUGACAUCCUGCUUUUGAAAAAGCGGAGAUCAAAGCUGGGGAUCGCAAGACCUAGCGCUUGAAGAGGGGCCCGCGCCUGAUUAGCUAGUUGGUGAGGUAACGGCUCACCAAGGCGACGAUCAGUAUCCGGCCUGAGAGGGCGGAAGGACCAACUGGGAAUGAGACACGGCCCAGACUCCUACGGGAGGCAGCAGUGGGGAAUUGUUCGCAAUGGGCGCAAGCCUGACGACGCAACGCCGCGUGGAGGACGAAGAUCUUCGGGUCGUAAACUCCUGUCGAGCGGGACGAACGCUUCGCGGAUGAAUAAUCCGCGGAAUUGACGGUACCGAUAAAGGAAGCCCCGGCUAACUCCGUG